Molecule: transfer RNA, 75 nt
Filed under: anaerobic digester metagenome
Also listed under: 1 other name
Description: tRNA-Val
Rfam family: tRNA
About the family: Transfer RNA (tRNA) molecules are approximately 80 nucleotides in length. Their secondary structure includes four short double-helical elements and three loops (D, anti-codon, and T loops).
Source: RNAcentral
GGGCUCGUGGUCUAGCUGGUUAUGACGUCGCCUUCACACGGCGGAGGUCUCGAGUUCGAAUCUCGACGAGCCCAC